Non-coding RNA from Salmo salar (Atlantic salmon), 736 nucleotides. The record is from RefSeq and is a predicted model, not a curated record. NCBI's taxonomy places the organism in Eukaryota, Metazoa, Chordata, Actinopteri, Salmoniformes, Salmonidae.
GAGGAUUGUGCGAGCUCUGAUCCUGGGGGAGCCGGAGCGUGGCCAGAACCAAUACCAGGUGCUGUGCUUCAUCUCACGGCUCAAUCACCACCAGAUCAUCCACACUGAGUCCAUGGCCCGCCACAGACAAAAGAACCCAACUUGGUCCGCAGGGCAGAGGAGAGGUGUGAGGUGGAACACAUCCACAUGGACAUGGUGGUGAACAUGAGUCGUGCAGGGCACCUCAACACACUCAUCCACAACGUGUGUAAGGAGGCACACAGGGGGUUUUAUACCCGGACAGGCGACACCAAUCAUUGGCUGGAUAAAGGAAUAGAGGCCAUUGAAUUUGAGUCCCUGCCCUAAACAGCAAACGCCCCUGGUCUGCAGCGAUGCCCCUCCACUCUGGAUCUGUGACAGCCCUGUGUCUGCAGCUAUUGCCUGCGUCUGGGGUGGCUCCCAUGCCUGCUCAAAUACUGCCGCAGCCGCUUGGGCGUGGCUGGAAGGGCCAACCCCUAUAUGUGUGGCAUCAGGAGCUGCAGCAAGGGCUACCGCUUCGACUACUACGUCCCCCAUAGACAGCUCUACCCAUGGGACGAGGAGACCUAAAGCAGCCUGUUUGGCUCCUGGUUCUUUCCUAGAAGGCAUUUAGCCUACAGUGCAUGUCUAGACUGAUCAAGUCAGGGGAUUCACGUACAGUUGAAGUUGGAAGUUUACAUACACCUUAGCCAAAUACAUUUAACCUCAGUUUUCCACA